UACGUAGGGUGCGAGCGUUGUCCGGAAUUAUUGGGCGUAAAGAGCUCGUAGGCGGUGUGUCACGUCGGCCGUGAAAACCUGGGGCUUAACUCUGGGCGUGCGGUCGAUACGGGCAUCACUAGAGUUCGGCAGGGGAGACUGGAAUUCCUGGUGUAGCGGUGAAAUGCGCAGAUAUCAGGAAGAACACCCGUGGCGAAAGCGGCUCUCUGGAACGGUACUGACGCUGAGACGCGAAAGCGUGGGGAGCGAACAGG
Molecule: ribosomal RNA, 254 nt
Filed under: uncultured bacterium
Lineage: Bacteria
Description: partial 16S ribosomal RNA
Rfam family: Bacterial small subunit ribosomal RNA
Source: RNAcentral